AGAGGCCUCGAGCGUUAAUCGGAGUCACUGGGCUUAAAGGGUGCGUAGGCGGGCCCGCAAGUGCUUUGUGAAAUCCCAUGGCUCAACCAUGGAAUUGCUUGGCAGACUGCGGGUCUUGAGGUCGGUAGAGGUCGCUGGAACUCUAGGUGGAGCGGUGAAAUGCGUAGAUAUCUAGAGGAACGCCGAUGGUGAAGACAGGCGACUGGGCCGAUUCUGACGCUGAGGCACGAAAGCGUGGGGAGCAAACGGGAUUAGAUACCCCGGUAGUCCACGCCCUAAACGAUGUACACUAGAUCACGGAGGCUCUCACGCCCCCGGGGUCGAAGAAAAAUUGACAAGUGUACCGCCUGGGGAGUACGGUCGCAAGAUUA
Molecule: ribosomal RNA, 371 nt
Filed under: uncultured bacterium
Lineage: Bacteria
Description: bacterial SSU rRNA
Rfam family: Bacterial small subunit ribosomal RNA
Source: RNAcentral